Peromyscus leucopus (white-footed mouse) is the source of this 2594-nucleotide long non-coding RNA. RefSeq lists it as uncharacterized. NCBI's taxonomy places the organism in Eukaryota, Metazoa, Chordata, Mammalia, Rodentia, Cricetidae. The record is from RefSeq and is a predicted model, not a curated record. The transcript is spliced from 3 exons.
GUGGCCAAGGGGGCGCUGCGGCACCAAACAGGAGCGCUAGGGAAGGGGCAGGCGAACCUCCCCAAAAGGACUGGCGGAGCCCCUUAUCUUCAUGUGUGCAGGAUCCCACCGUGCCCGGGGUCAGCCCGUCGCCCCCAAACGCAAGCAAGGGUGCAUGCACUCUUCAGAGGGAACAACUUUGGCUCUAGGACCAAAGGGGUGCAGGACACUAGAGACUCAGUCGGGAUGCGGGCACUCUGUGACACCACCCCCACACACAGGAGUCAGAUGACCUGGAAGGGCAAAUGCUAGAAGGAAUGCAUCUAUGCAUCUUUCCAUCCACCCUCCACCGAGCGCGGUGGGACGAUCACCGCCCCGGCAAGUCAGCCACAGAAUUCACAGUUGUCACAACAGAAGAAGAGCCAGGUGGCAUCUGGCUGCCGUUUACCUGUCCCGGAAGUGCCUGGUGGCGAUCAAGUUCCAGACAGGUCGUUUCCUCUGUAUACACAGCCAGGACCCUGAGUGGCCUCCAAGCAUAGGACAGAUGACCUUCAAGGACCAGCCAUGAUUUUGCCACAGGCAGGAGGGUUCUGUGUUUUAAUUGCCUGGAGGUUCCAUCUGUGGCUCUUGGAGCGGCGCCUGGCCCUGCACCCAGCCGACUGACCUACUGGUUCUGCACGGUUGGAAACGAAGCGGCUUCGGUAACAAAGUAACAAAGAAGCCCAGGGCGGCGCGGCAUGGAAAAGCAGACUGGCUUGAAAUUUCCUACGGCUGGAGCCUCUCAACAGACCGAAGCAUCAGCUGAGGCACCUAGAAACUCAAAAGUGUGUUUACCUCUGGGCAGGGAAGCAUUCUGUACUCAAACACGCACGAAGCGGGGCGCCUUUGCUUCUGAGAGCUGGCGCCGACCACCGUGCUUCCGCAAGAACGUCUGAACGCCGUCUGGGCCGAGCUGGGAGCUUCUCACCUCGCAGUCAUGAGUUAAGUUCUCCAAAGCAAUGCUAACAUUACUGGUGUAAGGGUGGAUCCCAAGUCAUUGCCGUAUCUAGGGAGCUACCACUUCUACAAGGAUGUGACUUGCUUGGAAGCCCGCGGUGCCCAAGGAAGGAGAAAGUGCAGACCGAUGCAGAGAAAGAAAUGCCAGCGAGGGACCCCACGUUGGAGAGACAGACACUGUGAGAGAGCCACUCUCAAGAGGCUGGCGAGGCGUGUGCGUGUGCGCGGGUCUCCGCGUUGGCACCAUCUGCCGAUUCCUCAGGAGGACGGAACGAGCCAGCGAGCCAUGAAGAUGCGAUUAUGUAACGCUGGAGGAUUGCUUGUUUUCAAGAGACGGAGGCAAAUGGAACGGAUUGAUUUGUUUGUCAGAGUCGUGUCACUAAAGGAGACCGGUCCCCUCCUCUUCCUAGAGGACCUCAGCAAAGAGGGGAGUGAUUCCAGACACACAAGACGCCUGAUGACCCACCUGGGUUGGACCCCUGGGACCCACAGGCUGGAAGGAAAAAAAAAAAACCAAAACCUGACUUCAGCAAAUUGUCCCUUGACCUCCACAUGUGCAUACAGAGGCAAAGGCACACAGCUUCCCCCUGCGGAAUAAAUAAAUGUAUAAGAAGAAAAAAAAAAUGCAAGACCACAAUUCAUUCCAUUCAUGAAAGCAAGGCCGUUUCCAGAGCGGUGCUGGCAAAUCCUUUUCUGGUUUCUCUGCUUGAAAAAUUGACUGUUCCCCUGCUACCUAAAAGGGCACAGCCAUAGGAAGGGACGUAAUUGCCACUGGCCCUCGCGAGCUUCCCAUCCUGCCUGCUUUGCCUGGCCUCCCUUGCUUUCCGGGGAUGUAACAUCUAAUCCUGAGACCCAUGCAGUCCUAUUACUAUGCAGAACUCUAAACAUGUGCUUUGAGAGAGGAGGCAAGCCUUCCCUUGUUAAAGAUUUAUUUUUAAUUCUGUGUGUGUGUGUGUGUAGGACAAAGGACAAUGUAUUAAAGCCGGUCCUCUCCUUCCGCCGUGAUGUGUCCCGGGCACCCGCCAUCAAACUCUGGUCUUCAGGCUUGGCGGCAACUGCUCUAUCCAUGGAUCCAUCGUAGUGCCCCGCCCCCCCCAUCACCUUUAUUCAACAUGGAGAUUAAACCUAUAGUAUCGGAUCCACCUGCUCGCUCUUCUCCAUGCUGCUUUCUACCCUGGGGCUCUGCUCCCUCACCCUCCAGCUCUUGGGAGCAGCAGGCAGAAAGGGUAUAAAACGAGGAGAUGAAUUCCCCCAGCUCCUGCCCUCCCACAGUGCCUCAGGUUGGCGGUGUCUUCCUAUAGCAGGUCACCCCCCGACACACACACACAUACACAAAGGAGCCUGGUCCCCAGAACCCUCUCUUUCUGGACUCUGUAACCUCUUCCGAGACUUCACAUCUAAGACUGGGGAAGGCUAUUUCUAGCUCCUUGGGCACUGUACCGAUCCUAGAGUUCCCUUAUACCCUACCCAAACUUCGUCAAUCGUCCCUUGAUUAAACCCUCCUCUAAUCAUCCAAUUUGAGCACGCCAUCUGUUUCUCAUGUAGACCCUGUCUACACCGACCACACCGCGUCAGCCUGUCGUAGGCCCUACACUAUGUUAAACUUAAAAAAAAAAAAA